AGAACUACAAAAGAGGUCAAAGGGGGCAAACAAGAGAUUUUAAAAUAUUUGGUUUUAAAGGAUAUGAGUAGUAGGAUACCAAAGCCUGAGGGUGCACAGCUGAGGUCAAUUGGUAUUAAUUGCUAACACCUAGAGGUAAUUAGCAAUAAUUACCCAAAGGAGGGAAGGGAGCAGCCAGAAGGACUUAAAGGCAGUAUUUCCAGGAACUCCUACCACACUGGGAACCUAAUAGUUUCUCAGUAAGAGGAAAUAAAUGUUUUCCACAGCAAUUUGUUUAGUUUUUAAAUUGCACUACAAAGAAACGCCUGAGGGAAGCUUAUGUAUAUACUAUUAAAACUUGUAGGUCCUCCUAUCCAGAGGUGAAGAUUUUUGCCCAUCCAUUGAGUCUGAGCUGGUCUUAUGAUUUGCUGUAACUAGAAGAGUGCAGGGAAAGUGAAAUUUACAUUACUUCUGUUGCUGGGUCUUAAAAGACCUUGCAGCCUCCACUUAGACCUUUUAGGAAUGCUGUGCUGAGAUCAUCUUGUGAGGAAGCUGGUCUAGCCUACUGGAGGAUGAGCAAAGUUGCAUAGAAGAUCCCGGCAUCCAGACGGAUGGCACCAACUCCAGAUGCUUUUUUGGAAGAUUAGCCUUGAACUAACUUCAUGCCACCAAUCCUCCUCUUCUUGCUGAGGAAGCCAGGCCCUGAGCUAACAUCCGUGCCCAUCUUCCUCUAGUUUAUAUGUGGGACGCCUGCCAAAGCAUGACUCGAUGAAGAGUGUGUAGGUCUGCACCCGGGACCCAAAUCGGUGAACCUUGGGCCACCGAAGCAGAACGCGCAAACUUAACCACUGCACCACCAGAUGUCACACCAUCCCUGCAUCUCUGGAAUGAAUCCCACCUGAUCAAGGGUAAUGAAGGCUUCAUAGAAGGAGUUAGGAAGACUCCCCUCCUCUUCAAUUUUUUGGAAGACUUUGAGAAGGAGAACCUCUUUGUGAGAAGGCUGGUCCAUACCAAGGUUCUAAUCUGCAAUUAUCUAGAAGAACAAAGCCUGUCCAGAAGAUAUUGAACUUACAACAGUUGUCUACAAUCAUAUUUUUCUAAAUGAAGAUUUGCCAAGUCAGCAUCCAAUUGCUUUCCUUUCCUUGUAUUUUUCUAUAGUGCUUUGGCAUUUGUGAAAUGCUUUUACAUUCUGCAUUUUAUUUACCUUUACUUUUGACAUAGAAAUCUAGGUUGGCAGGUUUGGUUUUUAUAUUUCCCCAGCUCUUUAAAUUUGUCUUCCCAUUUUUUGUGUUCUAGUUGUUUUUAUUGAGAAGCCAUUUAUCAGUCUAGUUGUUCCUUUGAAGGAGAUAUAUAUCCAACCCCUCCACCCUAGCUGCUUUAAAGAUUUUUUCUUUGUCUUUGACUUAUAGCAGUUUGACUCUGAUGUGCCUAGGUGUGGUUUUCUGUGUAUUGAUCCUGCUUGGAAGGUUCUUGAAUCUGUGACUUGUUGACUUGAUUAGUUUUGGAAAAUUUUGGCUAUCAUUUCAUUAAAUAUUGUUUUUAUUCUAUCCUCUUUCUUGUUUCCUCUCCUGGGAUUCCAAAUAGAUUUCCCAUAUGUGCUAUAUGUAUUUUUCUGAUUUUUCCACCUUUUAUUUUCUCUCUGUGAUUUAAUCUGGAUAUUUUCUAAUAACAUUUUUUAAAGACUUUUUUUUUUUGGAAGCAGUUUUAGAUUUACAAUAAAAUUGAGAGGAAGGUACAGAGAUCUCCCACAUAGUCUCUGACUGCACACACGCAUAGCCUCCAUCAUUAUCAACAUCACUCACCAGAGUCAUUUGUUACCGAGGAUGAACCUACAUUGAUACAUCAUAAUCAUCCAAAGUCCAUAGUUUACCUUAGGGUUCGCUCUUGGUGUUGUACAUUCCAUGGGUUUGGACAAAUGUAUAAUGACAUAUAUCCAUCAUUAUAAUAUCAUACGGAGUAUUUUCAUUGCCUUAAAAAUCUUAUGUGCUCUAUCCAUUCAUCCUUUCCCUCACCUCACCCCAGGAAACCACUGAUAUUUUUACCAUCUCAGUAGCUAUACCUUUUCCUGAAUGUCAUAUAGUUGGAAUCAUAUGAUAUGUACCUUUCUUGGAUUGAAUUCUUUCAUUUAGUAAUAUGCAUUUAAGAUUCCUCUGUAUCUUUUCACGGCUUGAUAGUUCAUUUCUUCUCAGCGCUGAAUAAUGUUCCAUUGUCUGGAUGUACCAUAGUAUAUUUAUCCAUUCAU
This 2221-nucleotide long non-coding RNA is filed under the name Equus caballus (horse). RNAcentral describes it as "lncRNA (ENSECAG00000040433.3)". The record is from RNAcentral. Lineage: Eukaryota; Metazoa; Chordata; Mammalia; Perissodactyla; Equidae.